This 804-nucleotide long non-coding RNA is filed under the name Neogobius melanostomus (round goby). RNAcentral describes it as "lncRNA (ENSNMLG00000012134.1)". The record is from RNAcentral. Lineage: Eukaryota; Metazoa; Chordata; Actinopteri; Gobiiformes; Gobiidae.
UCUCUGUCUCUGCAGAAAGACACGCAACAGGAAAGUUUCUUAAAAUACCCGGGCUCUGCAGCAUCUGAGAGCGAGGACGUCAUGAGUUCGGUGCUCGGAGCCAGAGCGAGCUGGAGUUUGGAAACAGAAGCUACAGGUGAAGAACAACCUGAUACUGAACAUUAAUGAACUGCAAAGAAUAAAGGUUUGAUAUUGUUCCUCCAGAUGAGGCGCAGGCAGGAGCAGUGCCUCUCCUCCACUUGUCUCCCCCGUCUGUCCCGACACAGACAGAAGAGGAGCAGCUGUCCCCUGGUUUAGACCUCGAUACAGACCUGGGCCCGGUCCUGGUUCUUCCCCGGAGCAGCCCAGUGAUCAGCAGGAGGAUCAGACCUGUCGGACUCUCACCAACCAGUUCCAGCGGGGGCAGUGCAGAGCAGAGUGCAGGGCUCACAGUGAGGAGCUCAGAGGAUCCAGCAGAAGUCCACAUCGAACCAGAGUACAAGAGAAGUCCCAGUGUGUCUCCAAAGAUCGCAGAAGAUGUUUUUAAGUCCACCUGUGAGCUGGAACAGGAGAACGUUCACUUCAUCCUCGUGGACCUGGUGCUGGAGGUUCUGGAAGGAGCCAAGUGGAGACUGAGCUCAGAGGAGUGGACUUCAGAGAGGAGUUUUGACCAAUGCGAUGAAGAAGAGCAAACCCCUGGGCCAGAGCAGAGAGGAUUCUGGGAAACGGAGUCCGAAAUGAAGACUCUCUCCGUCCUCUCCACGGACAGCGUCUUCGAGGGUAAAUAUGGAAGUCAUAAACAACGAUUUGUAAUAGAUACAGACG